Molecule: long non-coding RNA, 737 nt
Organism: Mauremys reevesii (Reeves's turtle)
Lineage: Eukaryota; Metazoa; Chordata; Testudines; Geoemydidae
Exons: 3
Source: RefSeq, a predicted model, not a curated record
GCAGCAGGGAAGGACCCGAGAGAAGCGCUGCACGCUCAGGUUUCCGCUUCAGGACAGGAGCCGCCCGAGCAGGAGAGGUGGAUUCUCCCGGCCUGGUGUGAGUGGGAAGGGCCCUGAGGCUGCUCUGUGGCAGGGCUCGCUCACACCCUGGGGUGAGGUUUCUGCUUCAGCUGCCACUGUCCUGCAAUAUCGCCGCUCCCGCUCCUGGCUCCCCCGGCGGUGGGAGCAUUGGACGCUGAAGCACUGCAUCAUCUGCAAAAAGCCACUCUCUGGAUAUUUUCUGUAAGUGCAUUGAGCACCAACGUGAACGACUGGAUAUAAAGAUCGCUGCUUCUAUCCGCACUGCCAACUCUGACUCCAGCUCCGACUCUUGGCUUCAUGUCUGACUGUGACACCAGCUCUGAUGUUUGCCUUGACUAUGGCUCUGAACUCUGGCUCUUGACUCCUGCUCCGACCACUAGGCAUGACCCCCACUGCCCUCAUCACUAGGUCUGACUGCCUACAUCAUGGGCCACAACUGAUGGUGUGCUAGGCGCUCAUAUUAGAGUUGCUCUUUUGUGCCUAGUCUAGACUAGGAUUUAAAGUGUGGUGUUAGCAUGUAAGAGACCAAGAGACCCCUGAGCUUUGAGAAAGGUCUGAGCUGGAGUUCAGUUUUGUGUCUCAGGUCCCAGCCCUGCUAUCUAAAAACUGCAAUGGUCCAUUAUGAAUAAUGAAAAAAUAAAGACAUUUGCCCACUG